RNAcentral lists this ribosomal RNA (96 nucleotides) under Prolemur simus (greater bamboo lemur). The record is from RNAcentral. Lineage: Eukaryota; Metazoa; Chordata; Mammalia; Primates; Lemuridae.
UCUAAAAGCCACGCCACCCUGAACGCAGCCGACCGCGUCUGAUCUCGGAAGCGAAGCCGGGCUGGGCCUGGUUAGUGCUCGGACGGGGACUUAGGA